Molecule: ribosomal RNA, 1173 nt
Filed under: Alteribacter aurantiacus DSM 18675
Lineage: Bacteria; Bacillati; Bacillota; Bacilli; Caryophanales; Bacillaceae
Description: bacterial LSU rRNA
Rfam family: Bacterial large subunit ribosomal RNA
Source: RNAcentral
GGGUGUAUGCCUGGAAGAGCCGCAGUGAAAAGGCCCAAACGACUGUUUAUCAAAAACACAGGUCUCUGCCAAGCCGCAAGGCGAUGUAUAGGGGCUGACACCUGCCCGGUGCUGGAAGGUUAAGAGGAGGGGUUAUCCCUUACGGGAGAAGCUCUGAAUUGAAGCCCCAGUAAACGGCGGCCGUAACUAUAACGGUCCUAAGGUAGCGAAAUUCCUUGUCGGGUAAGUUCCGACCCGCACGAAAGGUGCAACGAUUUGGGCACUGUCUCAACGAGAGACCCGGUGAAAUUAUAUUACCUGUGAAGAUGCAGGUUACCCGCGACAGGACGGAAAGACCCCAUGGAGCUUUACUGUAGCUUGAUAUUGGAUUUUGGUACAGCUUGUACAGGAUAGGUAGGAGCCUUGGAAGCCGGAGCGCCAGCUUCGGUGGAGGCAUCGGUGGGAUACUACCCUGGCUGUACUGACAUUCUAACCCAGGACCGUGAUCCGGUUCGGGGACAGUGUCAGGUGGGCAGUUUGACUGGGGCGGUCGCCUCCUAAAAAGUAACGGAGGCGCCCAAAGGUUCCCUCAGAAUGGUUGGAAAUCAUUCGUAGAGUGCAAAGGCAUAAGGGAGCUUGACUGCGAGACAUACAGGUCGAGCAGGGACGAAAGUCGGGCUUAGUGAUCCGGCGGCACCGCAUGGAAGGGCCGUCGCUCAACGGAUAAAAGCUACCCUGGGGAUAACAGGCUUAUCUCCCCCAAGAGUCCACAUCGACGGGGAGGUUUGGCACCUCGAUGUCGGCUCAUCGCAUCCUGGGGCUGAAGUAGGUCCCAAGGGUUGGGCUGUUCGCCCAUUAAAGCGGUACGCGAGCUGGGUUCAGAACGUCGUGAGACAGUUCGGUCCCUAUCCGUCGUGGGCGUAGGAAAUUUGAGAGGAGCUGUCCUUAGUACGAGAGGACCGGGAUGGACACACCGCUGGUGUACCAGUUGUUCUGCCAAGAGCAUAGCUGGGUAGCUACGUGUGGAAGGGAUAAGUGCUGAAAGCAUCUAAGCAUGAAGCCCCCCUCAAGAUGAGAUUUCCCAUUACGUUAAGUAAGUAAGAUCCCUCAGAGACGAUGAGGUUGAUAGGUCUCAUGUGGAAGCGUGGCAACGCGUGGAGCUGAGAGAUACUAAUCGAUCGAGGGCUUAUCCAA